This 69-nucleotide transfer RNA is filed under the name Marmota monax (woodchuck). It matches the Rfam family "tRNA". From Rfam's summary of the family: Transfer RNA (tRNA) molecules are approximately 80 nucleotides in length. Their secondary structure includes four short double-helical elements and three loops (D, anti-codon, and T loops). The record is from Rfam by way of RNAcentral. Lineage: Eukaryota; Metazoa; Chordata; Mammalia; Rodentia; Sciuridae.
GGGGUUGUGGCUCAGUGGCAGAGAGCUUGCCUUGCAUGCAUGAGGCAAUGGGUUCGCUCCUCAGCACCA